Non-coding RNA from Podarcis lilfordi (Lilford's wall lizard), 76 nucleotides. Lineage: Eukaryota; Metazoa; Chordata; Lepidosauria; Squamata; Lacertidae. The record is from the annotation of a GenBank genome assembly.
ACCACUGUGUGUGUGUGUGUGUGUGUGUGUGUGUGUGUAUACACACACACACACACACACACAUUUUUAUUGGUUU